RNAcentral lists this ribosomal RNA (429 nucleotides) under Bacteroidota bacterium. RNAcentral's name for it is "Bacteroidetes bacterium partial 16S ribosomal RNA". It matches the Rfam family "Bacterial small subunit ribosomal RNA", at positions 355 to 776 of the family's 1533-position model. Lineage: Bacteria; Pseudomonadati; Bacteroidota. The record is from RNAcentral.
UAGGGAAUCUUCGGCAAUGGGGGGAACCCUGACCGAGCAACGCCGCGUGAGUGAAGAAGGUUUUCGGAUCGUAAAGCUCUGUUGUUAAGGAAGAACGAGUGUGAGAAUGGAAAGUUCAUACUGUGACGGUACUUAACCAGAAAGGGACGGCUAACUACGUGCCAGCAGCCGCGGUAAUACGUAGGUGGCAAGCGUUGUCCGGAUUUAUUGGGCGUAAAGCGAGCGCAGGCGGUUAGAUAAGUCUGAAGUUAAAGGCAGUGGCUCAACCAUUGUAGGCUUUGGAAACUGUUUAACUUGAGUGCAGAAGGGGAGAGUGGAAUUCCAUGUGUAGCGGUGAAAUGCGUAGAUAUAUGGAGGAACACCGGUGGCGAAAGCGGCUCUCUGGUCUGUAACUGACGCUGAGGCUCGAAAGCGUGGGGAGCGAACAGG